This is a long non-coding RNA of Macaca fascicularis (crab-eating macaque), 1774 nucleotides long. NCBI's taxonomy places the organism in Eukaryota, Metazoa, Chordata, Mammalia, Primates, Cercopithecidae. The record is from Ensembl.
UGCCCUCUCUUUGACAAUGAUUAUAGUAAUUGAACAGAAUAUAGUCUUCUCCAUUGAAGUGUAUGAAUGUAGACACUUAAAGUUAUAUUUUCAAAGAAGCAUGAAUAGACUUAGCCAUGUGUCUCCUGUUAAUACCAGUGGUGUCAUGCAAGGAAGUGCUUUUGGUCAUUGGAUUGAAAACGUACUCCAUGACAUUAAAUGCAAGUAUCCUUUAGUAUCAUCAAUUAUCCAAUUUUUCUAUGACUUCUUUUCAAUUAAUUUUGUUCUGGAAUGUAGAGUUAUCUGACUUUUUUUCUGGUUUAAUGAUAGUAGUGCUUGCAUUUUUAGUAUUUAUCAAGUGCUGACUGGAUCUUUUUGGUUGAAAAGUUGGUUAGGGAAAUUACUGUCAAGCUCACUCACCACCAUAGUAACCAAAUUUUAAUACCUUCUCGGGAUACAGACAUUUAUAUAAUCUAACUCUGUGGCACUGAGGUGCAGUGUAUGUAGUGUAUUUAUGAUUGAACAGAAAGUUUCAAACAGCAGCCUGUGAAAUUGGAUUUUAGAUGUAAUGUACCAUAAAUAAGUGCUAUAAAGAUUGCCUUUAAUGCUAUAAAUCAGAUUUUAUUGGUUUCAGCUAUCUCAUUCUGGUUAUUGUAUUACCCACAAAAUCAGAGGAAAUCAAAGAGCUGGAAUAUUUUUUAUUUUAAUAUCCCAUAUUCUACAGUAAUGGCACAUGCACCCUUACAGCUUCCUUUUUGGGUAGGUUGGACAAGGUUGACAGGUGGCAGGCCCCAGCAACAUAUCAGUGGCAGUAUCGGUGUAAACAACGAAACUUUGGGGCUUGAAACAGUUUAAGAUUUCCUGUCUGUGAAACCUACAAGGUAGGUGAAUUGGCAGAUCCCUUCCCCGUCUGAGAAGCUGGUUGUCAUGUUCUUCAUGCUAAGCUGACACCUGUAGAAAUUGGCAGGUGAUGUGUGCUGUGCAUCUUCUGGAAAGUUUAUAGACUUUGGUGAUGAGGCUAUCUAUCCAUUGAGGAUGGGGAUGCCCAUGCAUGACUUACCCGAGUUAUUUAAAGCACCCAAAACUGUUGCUAUAAAAGAAAGUUGUCUACUUAAGCAAUCUCCCAAUAUUUGAUUUACAACCAAUGCUUCUGCACCCCUCCCUAACACUUUGAUGGUUUUCUACUAAGUACAGUUUAGUCCAGAAAAUUGACUGUUUUUUAAAAAUGCUUGGGAAAGCUUACAAAUGGAGUGUUAGAGCCCAAGAGGCUACAGUAAUCUAAAAAUGAACUAGUUAGGUCCAGAGCAGUAUUUAGGCUAUUUAAUGUGCAGUUUGUGCUUGUGUGUGGUUUUCCUCAAUGUGUACUUACACAAGUAUCCUGGGUUCAAGAUACAGUGAAGCACCUACCCAGGCCUUGAACAUCUGACUUUCAUUUCAUUGGUCAAGGUUGAAGCCUUGGUGUAAUGUGAAGAAGUCAAUAGGACAAAUGGGAUUUCUUGAACAGAGGUCAUCAGUGACACACAUCCUCAUUACGCUUCACUUUUUGAUUAUUUUAUUUUUACUGUGGCAUCAUGCCAGAUAUGUUCUCAUUAGUUCCCACACCUGUAAAAUAACCAAAUUUAGCAAUCAGAGAAGAUAUUGAAAUCUUGUGUUUUAUCUUGAUUAAAAAGAAAUCUAAUUCCACAAAUGCUUCAGUGAUCUUUAACCUGCUGCCUGCUGGAAAUAUAAGCCAUAUAUACCGUCCUUGUUAUGUCUGAGUUCAGCAGUUAAUAUUAAAAAAAAAAAAAAAAAAAAA